AGCUCCAAUAGCGUAUAUUAAAGUUGUUGCAGUUAAAAAGCUCGUAGUUGGAUUUCUGGCAGGGUGGCCUUGCCCUCUUGACGAGUGUGCAGUUUUGCCCUUCCAUCCUUCUGUUAACUUUUGAGAGUUUAACGCUCUCCUAAGGGCUCAGAUAUUUUACCUUGAGAAAAUUAGAGUGUUUCAGGCAGGCUAGGCCGGAAUACAUUAGCAUGGAAUAAUGGAAUAGGACUUUUGCCUCUUCUGUUGGUCUGAGGGGUUAGAGUAAUGAUUAAUAGGGAUAGUUGGGGGCAUUAGUACUUUACUGUCAGAGGUGAAAUUCUCGGAUUUGUAAAAGACUAACUUAUGCGAAAGCAUUUGCC
RNAcentral lists this ribosomal RNA (359 nucleotides) under uncultured eukaryote. RNAcentral describes it as "SSU rRNA". It matches the Rfam family "Eukaryotic small subunit ribosomal RNA", at positions 587 to 959 of the family's 1831-position model. The record is from RNAcentral.